CCAUAAAGAGAAGCCUUAGAAGAAGACAACACCAUACUUCCAAAAACCAACAGCCUUUUUCAUUAUUUUAAGCUUAUAGUGACCUGUCUAUCAUGUGCUUUUUCCACAUUUUAUGUUUUUUCUUUCUUUCUCUUUUCGAAUUGCUUUUAACUUCUUCUCUUCCUUCCUUGUCUCUCCCCAUCUUGGCUAUAACUAUCAUUCAUUUAUUUACUUCAUUUGUUUCUUUGAGCAAGAGAGAAAGAAAAAGAAAAAGAAAAAGAAAGAGAGAGAACAUCAUCACAUAUAGGCAAAGAACUUGAGUGUUUUUGCAGCUUUGUUUUGAUUGCUUGAAUCAUGAGAAAUCAAAAAGAGAGAGAGAGAGAGAGCUAGUUAGGGUCAUUGAAAGAAGGAACAAAAGAAAAAGGGUGUUUAGAAUGAAGCUCAAAAUCCAAGAUACUUCUCUCUAUGUCUCUCCGUUAUGUUCCUUCUGUCAUGUGAUAUAUUUAGUGACGCUUAUAUCGCCGCUAAUAAUUCAUAUAUGUUGGAAGGGAAAAACUGAGAAAGUAGUGUUUUGUUGAAGAAGAAAAGAGGGUGUAUGGAAUGAAGUUUGAUCCAAGAUCCAAGAUCCAUCAAUCAUCUUUCUUUUCUAAGUCAUGAAUUACGAUGAUAUUAAUGGAUCUCGGACCAGGCUUCAUUCCUCACACCAUGCUUUUCCAUUACUCCAUCACUUAACCCAAGCACUCUAUCUCAAAACCCAGGUGAUGGUUUCGCUGCAGUCAGACACGAGUCUGAAAGGUUCUCCUCCCCAACAACGUUACUUUCAGCCAUUUAAAAUUGAGUUUAAACCAGUUUUUGAACUACAUAACAAAUUAUUCAUAUAUAUUAUAUAAUUUAAACCUAUAAAUAUUAAAUAUUUAUAAUAUUAUGGUAUAGCAUUAAAAA
This is a long non-coding RNA of Gossypium arboreum, 921 nucleotides long. RefSeq lists it as uncharacterized. The record is from RefSeq and is a predicted model, not a curated record. The transcript is spliced from 2 exons. NCBI's taxonomy places the organism in Eukaryota, Viridiplantae, Streptophyta, Magnoliopsida, Malvales, Malvaceae.